RNAcentral lists this ribosomal RNA (240 nucleotides) under uncultured bacterium. RNAcentral's name for it is "partial 16S ribosomal RNA". It matches the Rfam family "Bacterial small subunit ribosomal RNA", at positions 9 to 226 of the family's 1533-position model. The record is from RNAcentral.
GAGUUUGAUCUUGGCUCAGAACGAACGCUGGCGGCGUGGAUAAGACAUGCAAGUCGAGCGGGACAUUUCGGGUAGCAAUAUUCGGAAUGUUCAGCGGCGCAAGGGUGCGUAACGCGUGGUAAUUUACCGUAAAGCCUCGGGAUAACUUCGCUGAAAGGCGAGCUAAUACCGGAUGUGAUUUCUGGAGGGCAUCUUCUGGAACUUAAAGCUAGGGGAUCGUAAGACCUGGCACUUUUCGGA